UUCUUCAACCACCAGCAGCCAAAGGUUUUCUUCUUCCUUGGAAACAAAGUUGAGCCAGAAAUGGAGAAUUUGAUGGGAUUGUUGAGAAUUCAUGUGAAUAGAGGGGUGAAUCUUGCUGUCAAAGAUGUUGUAAGCAGCGAUCCUCACGUUGUUAUCAAGAUGGGAAAACAGAGAUACGUUCGUAGAUGAUAAGAUGGGGGAUGCGGAGUUCGAGAUCAUGUCAUUUUUAAUUGCAGUAAAGAUGCGUCUACAGGAUCUGAAUGACGGAACUAUAAUCAGCAAGGUUCAGCCAAGCAGGCAGAACUGUCUGUCACAAGAGAGUUGCAUCGUUUGGAGCAAGGGGAAAAUUGUUCAAGACAUGUUCUUGAGGCUGAGAAACGUGGAGACUGGUGAAGUUGAGCUUCGGUUGGAACGGAUUGACGUUCCUGGUUCUAGAGGGAUUUAAUUACCUACUUGGAAUUUA
Hibiscus syriacus is the source of this 463-nucleotide long non-coding RNA. RefSeq lists it as uncharacterized. The transcript is spliced from 2 exons. NCBI's taxonomy places the organism in Eukaryota, Viridiplantae, Streptophyta, Magnoliopsida, Malvales, Malvaceae. The record is from RefSeq and is a predicted model, not a curated record.